UUUCCGUAGGUGAACCUGCGGAAGGAUCAUUACCGAAGAUCGACAUGCUCUUAGGAACAGAGCAUCGUCGUGACCUUAUGUUGGUAAAUACCAACCGGCUGUGAAGCAGACACAGUCGUGAUACCAUGUGAUGGUGAACAGCAGAACUGGCUAAACAAAUGGGACCGUCGCCGACGCACACGGGCUUCAAGACCCGAUUGCAAGGCACGAGGGCGGUCCAAACGUCGGUGGCAAAGGACAACCUGAUUGAAUACUUGUUGCAACUUCGGGGUACCUGUCGUGCCCACGGCGUCGAUUGACCGUAUUUGUCGGCGUCGUGCGGUACGAUGAGCAGGCCGCGGGAAACCCCCGCAGCUUCGCGAAGGUUCAAAGAAGCGCUGGUUCGCAUCGCGCACGCCACGGUUGACCGUAUUUGCCGGAGUGUGCGGAGGCGACGAGGCGCUCGCCCCGAAGCCAUUUCUCUUGUCUUUCGUACGGUUGCUAUCGGUCGCCUGCCGGUCGAUGGAGUCCACCCUUGGCCGUCUCGGGGUGGACGACGUUGUGCCGGUACGGUGCUGCCCAGUGUGGAAAAUUAUACAACUCUAAGCGGUGGAUCACUCGGCUCGUGUGUCGAUGAAGAGCGCAGCCAGCUGCGUGAAGUAAUGUGAAUUGCAGGACACAUUGAACAUCGACAUCUUGAACGCACAUUGCGGCCUCGGGUAUUCCCGAGGCCACGCCUGUCUCAGGGUCGGUUGAAAUUAUCUAUCGUCGGUUGACCGUAUUUGCCGACGCAUUGGACCGUCGCGGAGCGCUGACCGUAAAGGCGGCUCGAUCGGUUGACCGUAUUUGCCGAUCGCGCCGCCGCGUGCUCCACGUCGUCCGAAGUACAGACGGGUCUGCGCCUAAGCCUUGCCGACCGCACGUCCUAAGUCCGCCCUUGCGGACGGGGACGGCGACUCGGGACCGUAAGAGAAGCCGUUGCCCGUUUCUCGGCGCGGUACGGUCGGCGUAGGCCGUGGCAUUGACCCACAAGAACGAUGAUGGACGUGUUCGACGGUUGACCGUAUUUGCCGUCGGCAGACGUCCUCUUCUUCUUCGACCUGAGAUCAGACGAGAUUACCCGCUGAAUUUAA
RNAcentral lists this ribosomal RNA (1112 nucleotides) under Tubificoides imajimai. Its description in RNAcentral is "eukaryotic LSU rRNA". The stretch from base 578 to 730 matches the Rfam family "5.8S ribosomal RNA". Lineage: Eukaryota; Metazoa; Annelida; Clitellata; Tubificida; Naididae. The record is from RNAcentral.